This 236-nucleotide ribosomal RNA is filed under the name uncultured bacterium. Its description in RNAcentral is "partial 16S ribosomal RNA". It matches the Rfam family "Bacterial small subunit ribosomal RNA", at positions 524 to 758 of the family's 1533-position model. The record is from RNAcentral.
UACAGAGGGUGCGAGCGUUAAUCGGAAUUACUGGGCGUAAAGCGUGCGUAGACGGCUAUCUAAGUCGGGUGUGAAAGCCCCGGGCUCAACCUGGGAAUUGCAUUCGAGACUGAAUAGCUAGGGUACGGUAGAGGGAAGUGGAAUUUCCGGUGUAGCGGUGAAAUGCGUAGAUAUCGGAAGGAACAUCAGUGGCGAAAGCGGACUUCCUGGACCAGUACCGACGUUCAGGCACGAAA